This 497-nucleotide ribosomal RNA is filed under the name uncultured bacterium. RNAcentral describes it as "partial 16S ribosomal RNA". It matches the Rfam family "Bacterial small subunit ribosomal RNA", at positions 28 to 507 of the family's 1533-position model. The record is from RNAcentral.
GAUGAACGCUGGCGGCGUGCCUAAUACAUGCAAGUCGAGCGAACAGACGAGGAGCUUGCUCCUCUGACGUUAGCGGCGGACGGGUGAGUAACACGUGGAUAACCUACCUAUAAGACUGGGAUAACUUCGGGAAACCGGAGCUAAUACCGGAUAAUAUAUUGAACCGCAUGGUUCAAUAGUGAAAGACGGUUUUGCUGUCACUUAGAGGUGGAUCCGCGCCGCAUUAGCUAGUUGGUAAGGUAACGGCUUACCAAGGCAACGAUGCGUAGCCGACCUGAGAGGGUGAUCGGCCACACUGGAACUGAGACACGGUCCAGACUCCUACGGGAGGCAGCAGUAGGGAAUCUUCCGCAAUGGGCGAAAGCCUGACGGAGCCACGCCGCGUGAGUGAUGAAGGUCUUCGGAUCGUAAAACUCUGUUAUUAGGGAAGAACAAAUGUGUAAGUAACUAUGCACGUCUUGACGGUACCUAAUCAGAAAGCCACGGCUAACUACGUG